Molecule: ribosomal RNA, 509 nt
Filed under: uncultured Glomus
Lineage: Eukaryota; Fungi; Glomeromycota; Glomeromycetes; Glomerales; Glomeraceae
Description: SSU rRNA
Rfam family: Eukaryotic small subunit ribosomal RNA
Source: RNAcentral
AGCAGCCGCGGUAAUUCCAGCUCCAAUAGCGUAUAUUAAAGUUGUUGCAGUUAAAAAGCUCGUAGUUGAAUUUCGGGGUCAGUAGGUCGGUCGUGCCACUGGUAUGCACUGGUCUCACUGAUUCCUCCUUCCUGAUGAACCGUAAUGCCAUUAAUUUGGUGUUGCGGGGAAUCUGGACUGUUACUUUGAAAAAUCAGAGUGUUUAAAGCAGGCUAACGCUUGAAUACAUUAGCAUGGAAUAAUGAAAUAGGACGAUCGAUCCUAUUUUGUUGGUUUCUAGGAUUGACGUAAUGAUUAAUAGGGAUAGUUGGGGGCAUUAGUAUUCAAUUGUCAGAGGUGAAAUUCUUGGAUUUAUUGAAGACUAACUACUGCGAAAGCAUUUGCCAAGGAUGUUUUCAUUAAUCAAGAACGAAAGUUAGGGGAUCGAAGACGAUCAGAUACCGUCGUAGUCUUAACCAUAAACUAUGCCGACUAGGGAUCGGAUGAUGUUAAUUUUUAAUGACUCAUUC